Molecule: long non-coding RNA, 1414 nt
Organism: Oreochromis aureus
Lineage: Eukaryota; Metazoa; Chordata; Actinopteri; Cichliformes; Cichlidae
Source: Ensembl
GUUUGCCAUUUGGGAUUUUCCCUUAACAUUUCUUGGUCCUUCGAGCCGGAUGGGACGGGCUAUUUAAAGCAGCUCCCAUAAGAGGCACCUCACCAGGUCCCGUCGGUGCGAGAAGCCCACGUUGAAGUCUGUCGACAGCUCACGCACUAGGUGCGUGAUAAAGCCCAAGGACGUGAAUUCGGGUCUUGGCCAACGUUUUACAAGCGGUCCGCACCGUCGGGGGCUGAUUGGGUGCAUCUGAAGAAACCACCAUUAAGGUAAGACGGAAAAACUCUGAGACAGUAAUGAUUGCGCAAAACGUAAACUAAAAUAGAGCUCGUCUAAGGACUGGCAGCUCCCCCGCAGGGGGUAGAAAACUGGGCUCGCCCGAAGGGGCUGGUAGCAUUUUAAACUAAAAUAGAGCUCGUCUAAGGACUGGCAGCUCCCCCGCAGGGGGUAGAAAACUGGGCUCGCCCGAAGGGGCUGGUAGCAUUUUAAACUAAAAUAGAGCUCAUCUACGGACUGGCAGCUCCCCCGUAGGGGGUAAAGGUAGUGCGCGCAUAAAUGUACUGUACUGUUUUGUUUAUGUUGGUGGAAUAAGUUGAUUUUUUUUACAGCACAAUAAGGAGGCUGAACUAUUCCACUAAUUUGUUUACUGUUGGUCGCUGAAGUACUGGUGAACUGAGAGGAAGGUCGUGUUUCAUCACGUAAAGGUGACACCGCUUUCAAGAAUAGCUUGAAAGUAGAAGGGCGUGUCAGCUACCUCUCUCUGUUCUCGUGCCAGUGAAAGCGCCGCAGGUGUGUGUGUAUUACUAAGCGCUAAAAGAAGCAUAAACUAAUAAUGGGUAAUAAAGCAACAAAACUCACUGCUGACGAGCAGUGGCUAGAAAAGAAAUGUCCAGGUGCCGGACAAAUUAGUGCAUAUAGAUAGAGAAAUCCAAAGAAAACUAAAUGUCCCACGUGGGAGGGAAAAUGCAUUAACUAAAUUAUAAGAAACCCUCCAAGCAGAAAUAAAUACUGAAAAGGAUGCUAAAAAGAAAUCAAAGCAUACACAAGAGUUGUAAUAUUUUAAAGCAUGGAAAGAGGAAUGAAGUGGAAUAAACAAAAGGUUGCGCUUCAUCGCAUAAAAUUAAGGCCGCCCUUGACAUUAGGACAAGGGUAGAAGGCUGCCUUAAUAACCUCCCCUAACUCUAAUACCAGAGAAGGUCACACAGUUCUGUUUGUAGUAUUAAUAACACAAAAUCAAAAUGGGAAAUAAAACAACAAAACUCACUGCUGACGAGCAGUGGCUAGAAAAGAAAUGUCCAGGCGCCCGGACAAAUUAGUGCAUAUAGAUGGAGAAAUCCAAAGAAAACUAAAUGUCCCACGUGGGAGGGAAAAUGCAUUAACUAAAUUAUAAGAAACCCUCCAAGCAGAAAUAAAUACUGAAAAGGAA